GCCAGGCACAGUGGCUCAUGCCUGUAAUCCUCACACUUUGGGAGGCUGAGGUAGAAUGAUCACUUGAGGCAAGGAGUUCUGGACCAUCCUGGCCAACAUGGCGAAAUCCCGUUUCUACCAAAAAUACAAAAAUUAGCCAGGCGUGGUGGUGCAUGCCUGUAAUCCCAGCUACUAGGGAGGCUGAGGCAGGAGGAUUGCUUGAACCCAGAAGGUGGAGGUUGUAGUGAACCAAGAUCGUGCCAGUGCACUCCAGCCUGGGUGACAGAGUGAGACUCUGUCUCA
Molecule: small RNA, 282 nt
Filed under: Pongo abelii (Sumatran orangutan)
Lineage: Eukaryota; Metazoa; Chordata; Mammalia; Primates; Hominidae
Source: RNAcentral